This 433-nucleotide ribosomal RNA is filed under the name uncultured bacterium. RNAcentral describes it as "partial 16S ribosomal RNA". It matches the Rfam family "Bacterial small subunit ribosomal RNA", at positions 29 to 507 of the family's 1533-position model. The record is from RNAcentral.
AACGAACGCUGGCGGCAUGCCUAACACAUGCAAGUCGAACGAGACCUUCGGGUCUAGUGGCGCACGGGUGCGUAACGCGUGGGAACCUGCCCUUAGGUUCGGAAUAACUCCCCGAAAGGGGUGCUAAUACCGGAUAAUGUCUUCGGACCAAAGAUUUAUCGCCUUUGGAUGGGCCCGCGUUGGAUUAGCUAGUUGGUAGGGUAAAAGCCUACCAAGGCGACGAUCCAUAGCUGGUCUGAGAGGAUGAUCAGCCACACUGGGACUGAGACACGGCCCAGACUCCUACGGGAGGCAGUAGUGGGGAAUAUUGGACAAUGGGCGAAAGCCUGAUCCAGCAAUGCCGCGUGAGUGAUGAAGGCCUUAGGGUUGUAAAGCUCUUUUACCCGGGAUGAUAAUGACAGUACCGGGAGAAUAAGCACCGGCUAACUCCGUG